This 86-nucleotide non-coding RNA is filed under the name Fictibacillus arsenicus. Its description in RNAcentral is "c-di-GMP sequence". It matches the Rfam family "c-di-GMP-I riboswitch aptamer". From Rfam's summary of the family: GEMM was predicted in a large-scale screen for bacterial structured RNA regulatory elements. Genes associated with GEMM are involved in a diverse array of functions, including chemotaxis regulation, signal transduction, secretion and chitin. The record is from Rfam by way of RNAcentral. Lineage: Bacteria; Bacillati; Bacillota; Bacilli; Caryophanales; Fictibacillaceae.
AAAGGAUAAAGGCAAACCUAUGGAAACAUAGCGACGCAAAGCUAAAGGGGCUUCUGCACACCGUGUAAUGCCAGCCAGCUGCGAUC